Oncorhynchus nerka (sockeye salmon) is the source of this 3394-nucleotide long non-coding RNA. RefSeq lists it as uncharacterized. The transcript has 5 exons. Lineage: Eukaryota; Metazoa; Chordata; Actinopteri; Salmoniformes; Salmonidae. The record is from RefSeq and is a predicted model, not a curated record.
UGAGAUGAGUAAUGAGAUGAGUAAUGCAUGAGUAAUGAGAUGAGUAAUGCACCAGUCACCAUUUUGUCACUUUACAGAGGUCAUUGAACGAUGCCAGACUGUAUCAAUUCUAAAUGGAAUAUUCUGUGGUUUCUACUCAUCCUGACAGAUACCUGGGCUGAAGACGCUCCAAUUGACCAGUAUGGGUUGAAGGGAGGUUCAGUGUGUCUGACUGUAGCAGAACAACCUGAGGAACUUAAAGGACUUAGAUGGAAGGUCAAUAGUACUGUAAUAGUGGAUGAUAAAGAGAUCUCUCCUAAAUACAAGGAGAAGGUGGAUUAUAAUCCAGUGAACCACACUCUGUGCAUUAAGAAUCUGACAGACACAGACAGUGGAAUUUACAUUGCAAAUACAAAGAAAAAAGAUUGGACAGAUUCAACGUCUUCAUACAAACUUAAGGUGUUGGAAGCUGUUCCCAUUCCAGCAAUGCAGGUGACAUACUACAACUCAAGUACAGGACUUUGUAACAUCACAGUGAAUUGUUCAGGCUGGAUGUUUUCUGUCUGUGAUGGAGGUCAGUGCCCACUGUACCAGGAUUCUCUGUCAGUCUCUGAGUUCAACAUCACUGUUUCCAGUGGUAAUGGAUUCAUCCAGUGUAUCAUCAACAAUCAUGUCAGCGCAGAGACCGAAUCCCAACGCCUGAAGGACACAUGUAUUGUUGAGAAGAAGGGGAGAGCUGCAGCAUCACCAGUUGGCAUCAUUGUGGGUGGUGUUAGUGGUGGAUUGUUUGUCAUUGUGUUAGUUGGUGUAGGAUGGAUCAUGUCAACCAGGAGAUGGUGUAAAUAGGAUCUGACAAUGCAGUGAGCGCUCCACCAGGGGAGAGGCUGGAACCACAGAACACAGGGUUUCCUGAGGUAACAUCAAUCUACAACACUGCAAGUCAACCAGGAGCAGCAGUACCAGCAGCAGCAUCAGGAGGAGAAGAGGGCCAACCAGGGGACAAGUACACCACCAGAAGAGAGGAAACAACUACAUUUCCCCCAACAGGCAUUUUACAGCACUGUGCAGCAACCAGCGGUACAAGAUCGCCAUCAAGUGGACAAAGUGUGCUUCUGAGGCAGAGCCUAUAUCAGUCUUCGACAGCAACCUUACAGAAACCAGCUGCAGCACAGCACCACCCAAAGUGUGGAAUAACUUCAACAAACCAGACAGUGAACUGCACAAUGGGAGAUACAUCCGUCUCUGAUGUUACAUGUCUGUAGCUAGGCUCCCAUUAAUUUGUCCAGUGACCUUUUGUCAACAUUUAACAAGUGUUCAUAGAAAAUAGAUGUGACAAUAGCGGAGGUCCAUAAAGAUGGCGGCCUCCAUGCACUUAACCACACAUUCUUUGUUUUGCUAAAUUCGGAGUAUUUUAACAUUUCUCUCUGUUAAUAUUUUGCUGUAUGUUCAUUAGCACAGCAUACAUGAUCCCAAUUUUAGCUUCAAUAUGCUGGCAAUUUGAAAAAGUAGAUUGUGCUGAUUUAUUGGCACAUUAAAUCAUGUCAUUUAAAGACUCAGUGGAUAUUUCUAAAACAAUGAUGUCAUAUCUGAAUUCUGCCAUCUUUAUGCAUCUUCUCCAUUACCUGCUACGGUGCAUUUCCAUUGCACUGAAAACUAUCAAAACAUUUAAUUAUUGAAAUACAAUUUCAGUUUAGUUCCUGAAUUGGACUCACUCACUCACUCACUCAAUCAAUCAAUCAAUCAAUCAAUCAAUCAAUCAAUGAAUUCACCAUUCCAGCAAACAUCCAACCAAUCAGUCAUCGGAGUAUAUUAUUAUUUUUCUAUAAUAUGUACUGUAUGUCUAAUUAUUAAUACUAAUUUCACUAGAAAGUUAUCCAUCUAUCCAUUUCAGUAUGUUCUGUAACAUCCAGCUGGUUGUGUGGAUGAACUACAAAAGUAAGACAAUCAAUUACAGCUAAAAGCAGAAGGAUCUGGGAAUAAUGUCUGCAAACCAGAAACAGUGUACUGCACAACAGGAGAUAAACUACCCCUCCAACCCUCUCAGAGACUCACUGCUGUUACAUUGACUGAGACUUGACAUAAAGAUAUAAAACCAUAUUUUUUUGUGAAGAAUCAACAAUGGGACACAAUCAUGAAGUGGAACGACAUUUAUUGGAUAUUUCAAACUUUUUUAACAAAUCAUAAACUGAAAAAUUGGGCGUGCAAAAUUAUUCAGCCCCUUUACUUUCAGUGCAGCAAACUCUCUCCAGAAGUUCAGUGAGGAUCUCUGAAUGAUCCAAUGUUGACCUAAAUGACUAAUGAUGAUAAAUACAAUCCACCUGUGUGUAAUCAAGUCUCCGUAUAAAUGCACCUGCACUGUGAUAGUCUCAGAGGUCCGUUAAAAGCGCAGAGAGCAUCAUGAAGAACAAGGAACACACCAGGCAGGUCCGAGAUACUGUUGUGAAGAAGUUUAAAGCCUGAUUUGGAUACAAAAAGAUUUCCCAAGCUUUAAACAUCCCAGGGAGCACUGUGCAAGCGAUAAUAUUGAAAUGGAAGGAGUAUCAGACCACUGCAAAUCUACCAAGACCUGGCCGUCCCUCUAAACUUUCAGCUCAUACAAGGAGAAGACUGAUCAGAGAUGCAGCCAAGAGGCCCAUGAUCACUCUGGAUGAACUGCAGAGAUCUACAGCUGAGGUGGGAGACUCUGUCCAUAGGACAACAAUCAGUCGUAUAUUGCACAAAUCUGGCAUUUAUGGAAGAGUGGCAAGAAGAAAGCCAUUUCUUAAAGAUAUCCAUAAAAAGUGUCGUUUAAAGUUUGCCACAAGCCACCUGGGAGACACACCAAACAUGUGGAAGAAGGUGCUCUGGUCAGAUGAAACCAAAAUUGAACUUUUUGGCAACAAUGCAAAACGUUAUGUUUGGCGUAAAAGCAACACAGCUCAUCACCCUGAACACACCAUCCCCACUGUCAAACAUGGUGGUGGCAGCAUCAUGGUUUGGGCCUGCUUUUCUUCAGCAGGGACAGGGAAGAUGGUAAAAAUUGAUUGGAAGAUGGAUGGAGCCAAAUACAGGACCAUUCUGGAAGAAUGACCUGAGACUGGGACGGAGAUUUGUCUUCCAACAAGACAAUGAUCCAAAACAUAAAGCAAAAUCUACAAUGGAAUGGUUCAAAAAUAAACAUAUCCAGGUGUUAGAAUGGCCAAGUCAAAGUCCAGACCUGAAUCCAAUCGAGAAUCUGUGGAAAUAACUGAAAACUGCUGUUCACAAAUGCUCUCCAUCCAACCUCACUGAGCUCGAGCUGUUUUGCAAGGAGGAAUGGGGAAAAAAUUCAAUCUCUCGAUGUGAAAAACUGAUAGAGACAUACCCCAAGCGACUUACAGCUGUAAUCGCAGGAAAAGGUGGCGCUACAAAGUAUUAACUUAAGGGGGCUGAAUAA